GAUCCUGGCUCAGAUUGAACGCUGGCGGAAUGCUUUACACAUGCAAGUCGAACGGUAGAGGGGGCAACCCCUCGAGAGUGGCGAACGGGUGAGUAAUAUAUCGGAACGUGCCCAGUCGUGGGGGUUAACGUAGCGAAAGUUACGCUGAUACCGCAUACGAUCUACGGAUGAAAGCGGGGGACUCGUCAAGAGCCUCGCGCGAUUGGAGCGGCCGAUAUCAGAUUAGGUAGUUGGUGGGGUAAAGGCUCACCAAGCCAACGAUCUGUAGCUGGUCUGAGAGGACGACCAGCCACACUGGAACUGAGACACGGUCCAGACUCCUACGGGAGGCAGCAGUGGGGAAUUUUGGACAAUGGGCGAAAGCCUGAUCCAGCAAUGCCGCGUGCAGGACGAAGGCCUUCGGGUUGUAAACUGCUUUUGUACGGAACGAAAAGGUAGCUCCUAAUACGAGCUGCUGAUGACGGUACCGUAAGAAUAAGCACCGGCUAACUACGUG
This 496-nucleotide ribosomal RNA is filed under the name uncultured bacterium. Its description in RNAcentral is "bacterial SSU rRNA". It matches the Rfam family "Bacterial small subunit ribosomal RNA", at positions 15 to 507 of the family's 1533-position model. The record is from RNAcentral.